UACAGAGGGGGCAAGCGUUGUUCGGAAUUACUGGGCGUAAAGGGCGCGUAGGCGGCCUGUUAAGUCGAACGUGAAAUCCCCGGGCUCAACCCGGGAACUGCGUCCGAUACUGGCAGGCUUGAAUCCGGGAGAGGGAUGCGGAAUUCCAGGUGUAGCGGUGAAAUGCGUAGAUAUCUGGAGGAACACCGGUGGCGAAGGCGGCAUCCUGGACCAAUAUUGACGCUGAGGAGCGAAAGCUAGGGGAGCAAACGGG
This 253-nucleotide ribosomal RNA is filed under the name uncultured bacterium. Its description in RNAcentral is "partial 16S ribosomal RNA". It matches the Rfam family "Bacterial small subunit ribosomal RNA", at positions 524 to 776 of the family's 1533-position model. The record is from RNAcentral.